Molecule: ribosomal RNA, 301 nt
Filed under: uncultured bacterium
Lineage: Bacteria
Description: partial 16S ribosomal RNA
Rfam family: Bacterial small subunit ribosomal RNA
Source: RNAcentral
CAGUCGCCGCGGGAAUACGGAGGGAGCUAGCGUUAUUCGGAAUUACUGGGCGUAAAGCGCACGUAGGCGGCUUUGUAAGUUAGAGGUGAAAGCCUGGAGCUCAACUCCAGAAUUGCCUUUAAGACUGCAUCGCUUGAAUCCAGGAGAGGUGAGUGGAAUUCCGAGUGUAGAGGUGAAAUUCGUAGAUAUUCGGAAGAACACCAGUGGCGAAGGCGGCUCACUGGACUGGUAUUGACGCUGAGGUGCGAAAGCGUGGGGAGCAAACAGGAUUAGAUACCCCAGUAGUCCCUGUCUCUUAUAC